This 562-nucleotide ribosomal RNA is filed under the name uncultured bacterium. RNAcentral describes it as "bacterial SSU rRNA". It matches the Rfam family "Bacterial small subunit ribosomal RNA", at positions 885 to 1446 of the family's 1533-position model. The record is from RNAcentral.
GUCGCAAGAUUAAAACUCAAAGGAAUUGACGGGGACCCGCACAAGCGGUGGAUGAUGUGGAUUAAUUCGAUGCAACGCGAAAAACCUUACCUACCCUUGACAUGUCCGGAAUCCUGAAGAGAUUUGGGAGUGCUCGCAAGAGAGCCGGAACACAGGUGCUGCAUGGCUGUCGUCAGCUCGUGUCGUGAGAUGUUGGGUUAAGUCCCGCAACGAGCGCAACCCUUAUCCUUAGUUGCCAUCAUUCAGUUGGGCACUCUAAUGAGACUGCCGGUGACAAACCGGAGGAAGGUGGGGAUGACGUCAAGUCCUCAUGGCCCUUAUGGGUAGGGCUUCACACGUCAUACAAUGGUCGGUACAGAGGGUUGCCAACCCGCGAGGGGGAGCUAAUCUCACAAAGCCGAUCGUAGUCCGGAUCGCAGUCUGCAACUCGACUGCGUGAAGUCGGAAUCGCUAGUAAUCGUGGAUCAGCAUGUCACGGUGAAUACGUUCCCGGGUCUUGUACACACCGCCCGUCACACCAUGGGAGUGGGUUUCACCAGAAGUAGGUAGUCUAACCGCAAGG